RNAcentral lists this ribosomal RNA (1388 nucleotides) under Catapyrenium lachneum. RNAcentral describes it as "partial 28S large subunit ribosomal RNA". It matches the Rfam family "Eukaryotic large subunit ribosomal RNA", at positions 40 to 1444 of the family's 3401-position model. The record is from RNAcentral. Lineage: Eukaryota; Fungi; Ascomycota; Eurotiomycetes; Verrucariales; Verrucariaceae.
AUAUCAAUAAGCGGAGGAAAAGAAACCAACAGGGAUUGCCUCAGUAACGGCGAGUGAAGCGGCAGCAGCUCAAAUUUGAAAUCUGGCCCCCAGGGGUCCGAGUUGUAAUUUGGAGAGGAUGCUUCGGGUCAGGCGGCGGUCUAAUUCGCUUGGAACAGCGGGUCAGAGAGGGUGAGAGCCCCGUCGAGGGGCCGUCGGCCGCGCCCGUGUGAAGCUCCUUCGACGAGUCGAGUUGUUUGGGAAUGCAGCUCCAAGUGGGUGGUAAAUUUCAUCUAAAGCUAAAUAUGGGCCAGAGACCGAUAGCGCACAAGUAGAGUGAUCGAAAGAUGAAAAGCACUUUGAAAAGAGAGUUAAACAGUACGUGAAAUUGUUGAAAGGGAAGCGCUGGCCACCAGACGUGGGCGGGACGGUUCCCCCGACCGACGGUCGGGCUACUCCGUGCCGUCCAGGCCAGCAUCGGUUCGGGUGGUCGGUGAAAGGCCCCGGGAACGUACCGACUCUCCGGGGUCGACUUACAGCCCGGGGUGUCAUGCGACCCAUCCGGACCGAGGAACGCGCUUCGGCUCGGAUGCUGGCGUAAUGGUGGUCAGCGGCCCGUCUUGAAACACGGACCAAGGAGUCUAACUGCUGUGCGAGUGUUUGGGUGUCAAGCCCCGACGCGGAAUGAAGGUGAACGGAGGUCAGAACCCCGCAUGGGGCGCACGAUCGACCGAUCCGGAUGUCUUCGGAUGGAUUUGAGUAUGAGCAUGGCGGUUGGGACCCGAAAGAUGGUGAACUAUGCCUGGAUAGGGUGAAGCCAGAGGAAACUCUGGUGGAGGCUCGCAGCGGUUCUGACGUGCAAAUCGAUCGUCAAAUCUGGGUAUAGGGGCGAAAGACCAAUCGAACCAUCUGGUAGCUGGUUCCUGCCGAAGUUUCCCUCAGGAUAGCAGUAACGAAUUCAGUUUUAUGAGGUAAAGCGAAUGAUUAGAGGCCUUGGGGUUGAAACAACCUUAACCUAUUCUCAAACUUUAAAUAUGUAAGAAGUCCCUGUUGCUUCGUUGAACAGGGACCUUCGAAUGCACCGUUACUAGUGGGCCAUUUUUGGUAAGCAGAACUGGCGAUGCGGGAUGAACCGAACGCGGGGUUACGGUGCCGGAAUGCACGCUCAUCAGACACCACAAAAGGUGUCAAUGCAUCCAGACAGCCGGACGGUGGCCAUGGAAGUCGGAAUCCGCUUAGGAGUGUGUAACAACUCACCGGCCGAAUGCAUUGGCCCUGAAAAUGGAUGGCGCUUAAGCGUGCUACCUAUACCUCGCCGUUGGGGUUGAAAUGAGGCCCCAACGAGUAGGCAGGCGUGGAGGUCGGUGACGAAGCCUCGGGGGUGACCCCGGGUCGAACGACCUCUAGUG